Molecule: ribosomal RNA, 333 nt
Filed under: uncultured bacterium
Lineage: Bacteria
Description: bacterial SSU rRNA
Rfam family: Bacterial small subunit ribosomal RNA
Source: RNAcentral
CGUGCAGGCGGGCGUGCAAGUCUGAUGUGAAAGCCCCCGGGCUUAACCUGGGAAGUGCAUUGGAAACUGCACGUCUUGAGUUGCGGAGAGGAAGGGGGAAUUCCCGGUGUAGAGGUGAAAUUCGUAGAGAUCGGGAGGAAUACCAGUGGCGAAGGCGCCCUUCUGGACGACAACUGACGCUGAGACGCGAAAGCGUGGGGAGCAAACAGGAUUAGAUACCCUGGUAGUCCACGCUGUAAACGAUGAGCACUAGGUGUAGCGGGUACUCAUUCCUGCUGUGCCGCAGCUAACGCGUUAAGUGCUCCGCCUGGGGAUUACGGUCGCAAGACUAAA